This is a non-coding RNA of Cyprinus carpio (common carp), 537 nucleotides long. The record is from the annotation of a RefSeq genome assembly. Lineage: Eukaryota; Metazoa; Chordata; Actinopteri; Cypriniformes; Cyprinidae.
AUGACUAUCCUUUUUGUUCUGCUUCUGCUGUUGAUGAUUAAAAAGGAGACAUUUGCACAGUCAAUAACACCACAGGAAAGCAAGGCACUUAAAUAUGAGGGAGAAAAAGUCACUCUGUCCUGUAAAUAUGAUGGAGCUGUUAAUAACUUGCACUGGUAUCGUCAGUAUUCGGGAUCCAAACCGGAGUUCCUUGCAUAUAUUUAUCCAAAUGGAGACACAAGUAACCCUCUUCCUGAUCGUCUCAUACCUAAAGUUGAUAAAAACAAGAAUCUUGUGAGCCUGGAGAUCUCUGAUGCUGAAGUAACAGAUUCUGCGCUGUACUACUGUGCACUGUCGCCCACAAUGACAGGAAACUCAACUACACUGUACAAAAACCUCCUGAACAAUAAAACUCAUAAACUAUGUAAAUGUUUCAGAAAUAUCUUUUCAGAGAAUAUAACAGAGCAGUUCAGACAUGUAGAAAUAAAAGAAGUAGCAAUGCAUCAAAGCAUUACUACAAAGAAAUGCAUCUAUAAAUGCAUAGAAUUGAUAAUAUAG